AUUGAACGCUGGCGGCAGGCUUAACACAUGCAAGUCGAGCGAGCGACGGACGGGUGAGUAAUGUCUGGGAAACUGCAUGAUGGAGGGGGAUAACUACUGGAAACGGUAGCUAAUACCGCAUACCAGCAGAUGUGACAAGAUGGGAUUAGCUAGUAGGUGGGGUAAUGGCUCACCUAGGCGACGAGCCCUAGCUGGGCGAAGAGGAUGACCAGUCACACUGGAACGGGGACAAGGUCUCGACUCCUACGGGAGGCAGCAGCGGGUAAUAUUGCACAAUGGGCGCAAGCCUGAUGCAGCCAUGCCGCGUGUGUGAAGAAGGCCUUCGGGUUGUAAAGCACUUUCAGCGAGGAGGCGUUACUCGCAGAAGAAGCACCGGCUAACUCCGUGACAGCAGCCGCGGUAAUUC
This 406-nucleotide ribosomal RNA is filed under the name uncultured bacterium. Its description in RNAcentral is "partial 16S ribosomal RNA". It matches the Rfam family "Bacterial small subunit ribosomal RNA", at positions 30 to 526 of the family's 1533-position model. The record is from RNAcentral.